UACUUAUAUAAAAGGAGAAGCUAGCACUCCCCUAACAGGAAUGGGAGAUGUUUUAAGAUGACCCAAAUAAUGCAUAUCUUGUCAAGGCACUGGCCAACUAUCUGGUGGCAUGAAACCAUGGUUGUAC
Molecule: small nuclear RNA, 127 nt
Organism: Choloepus hoffmanni (Hoffmann's two-fingered sloth)
Lineage: Eukaryota; Metazoa; Chordata; Mammalia; Pilosa; Megalonychidae
Source: Ensembl